This 137-nucleotide unclassified non-coding RNA is filed under the name uncultured Oidiodendron. RNAcentral describes it as "sequence contains ITS2". Lineage: Eukaryota; Fungi; Ascomycota; Leotiomycetes; Myxotrichaceae. The record is from RNAcentral.
CAACCCUCAAGCUCUGCUUGGUAUUGGGCCCUGCCCGCUGCGGCCGGCCCUAAAGACAGUGGUGCCGCCUGGCCCUGAGCGUAGUACGUCUCUCGCUCCAGUGCUUGGUGGUAGCCUGCCAGAACCCCAACUCUCGU